ACUAGUUAACUCCCUGACCCUGAAUGAGCUCCUUGACCUUCUCCCAUGACCUGGUGUCCUCCCAUCUUUUAAGAGCAGACAAUAUAGUACAGAGACAUUAGUUUUCUGCUUGGUGCUGGCCCAAGUGUGUGACCUCAGCCAAGUCACUUUUGCUCCCCAAAUCUGUUUUCUCAUCUGUCAGUGAGUGAGCUUGUUCCGAAUCUAGACUUCCCAGCAGGUGUGCUGCAGCCUGCAGGUGAGCCUCAGACUGGAAGCUCCAGGAGGCCAGGGACUGAAUGCUUAUCUUGGUUGCUGCUUUGCUCCUGGAUCCAACACAUAGUCCAAUCAUGUGCCUCAUGACUACAUUUCCGUCAAUGACGAACCGCGUAUGUGGUGAUGCUCCCAUAAGAUUAGUACCAUAUAGCCUAGGUGUGUAGAAGGCUAUGCCACCCAAGUUUGUGAAGAUUAGCCCUGAGCUAACUGCUGCCAAUCCUCCUCUUUUUGCUGAAGAAGACUGGCCCUGAGCCAACAUCUGUGCCCAUCUUCCUCUACUUUGUAUGUGGGACACCUACCACAGCAUGGCUUGCCAAGUGGUGCCACAUCCACACCCGGGAUCCGAAUCAGCAAACCCCAGGCUGCCGAAGCGGAACGUGCGCACUUAACUUCUGCCCCACUGGGCCAACCCCCAGUUGUUUGUAAUAUGCCUUUAUUAUUCAUUGAUAUAUGUGGAAUCUGUAUGGUUGCCAUGUCUCUCGUUACUUAUAUUGGUAAUUUGUGUCUUCUCUCUGUUUUUGCUGAUCAGCCUGGCUAAAAGUUUGUCAAUCCUAUCGAUAUUCUCAAAGAACUAACUUUUGAUUUCAUUGAUUUUUCUCUAUUGUUUUCUAUUUCAUUGAUUUCUGUUCUAAUCUUUAUUAGUAUCAGAACACUUUACUUUGCGCUUAAUUUGCUCUUUGUUUUCAAGCUUCUUAAGGCAGAAGCUUAGGUCUUUGAUUUGAUGCUUUAGUCUUUUCUUCUUUUCUAAUAUGGGCGUCUAGUGUUCUGAGUCCUCCUCCCCGUCAUUCUACCAGCCUAGUACUGCUUGAGCGACUUCCCACAAUUUUGAUUAGGUUGUGCUUCAUUAUUACUCAGUUCAAAAUACUUCCUAAUUUUC
This 1129-nucleotide long non-coding RNA is filed under the name Equus caballus (horse). Its description in RNAcentral is "lncRNA (ENSECAG00000047130.1)". Lineage: Eukaryota; Metazoa; Chordata; Mammalia; Perissodactyla; Equidae. The record is from RNAcentral.